RNAcentral lists this ribosomal RNA (763 nucleotides) under Sanguineodiscus aractinus. Its description in RNAcentral is "partial large subunit ribosomal RNA". It matches the Rfam family "Eukaryotic large subunit ribosomal RNA", at positions 162 to 943 of the family's 3401-position model. The record is from RNAcentral. Lineage: Eukaryota; Fungi; Ascomycota; Lecanoromycetes; Teloschistales; Teloschistaceae.
UUUCGGGCGCGGCGCCGGUCUAAGUCCCUUGGAACGGGGCGUCACAGAGGGUGAGAAUCCCGUAUGUGACCGGUGACUAACCCCAUGUGAAACUCCUUCGACGAGUCGAGUUGUUUGGGAAUGCAGCUCAAAAUGGGUGGUAUAUUUCAUCUAAAGCUAAAUACCGGCCAGAGACCGAUAGCGCACAAGUAGAGUGAUCGAAAGAUGAAAAGCACUUUGGAAAGAGAGUCAAACAGUACGUGAAAUUGUUGAAAGGGAAGCGCUCGCAACCAGACCUGCCCGCGGCCGAUCAACCGUCCUUCUGGGCGGUGCACUCGACCGCGAUCAGGCCAGCAUCGGUUCGGGCGGCCGGAUAAAGGCCCUGGGAACGUAGCUCCUUUCGGGGAGUGUUAUAGCCCUCGGUGCAAUGCGGCCAGCCGGGACCGAGGACCGCGCUUCGGCUAGGAUGCUGGCGUAAUGGUUGUGAGCGGCCCGUCUUGAAACACGGACCAAGGAGUCUAACAUCUAUGCGAGUGUUUGGGUGUCAAACCCAUGCGCGUAAUGAAAGUGAACGGAGGUGGGAACCCGUGAGGGCGCACCAUCGACCGAUCCAGAUGUCUUCGGAUGGAUUUGAGUACGAGCAUAGCUGUUGGGACCCGAAAGAUGGUGAACUAUGCCUGAAUAGGGUGAAGCCAGAGGAAACUCUGGUGGAGGCUCGCAGCGGUUCUGACGUGCAAAUCGAUCGUCAAAUUUUGGCAUAGGGGCGAAAGACUAAUCGAACCAU